Molecule: ribosomal RNA, 433 nt
Filed under: uncultured bacterium
Lineage: Bacteria
Description: partial 16S ribosomal RNA
Rfam family: Bacterial small subunit ribosomal RNA
Source: RNAcentral
AACGAACGCUGGCGGCAUGCCUAACACAUGCAAGUCGAACGAUCCCUUCGGGGCUAGUGGCGCACGGGUGCGUAACGCGUGGGAACCUGCCCUUAGGUUCGGAAUAACUCAGAGAAAUUUGAGCUAAUACCGGAUAAUGUCUUCGGACCAAAGAUUUAUCGCCUUUGGAUGGGCCCGCGUUGGAUUAGCUAGUUGGUGGGGUAAAGGCCUACCAAGGCGACGAUCCAUAGCUGGUCUGAGAGGAUGAUCAGCCACACUGGGACUGAGACACGGCCCAGACUCCUACGGGAGGCAGCAGUGGGGAAUAUUGGACAAUGGGCGAAAGCUUGAUCCAGCAAUGCCGCGUGAGUGAUGAAGGCCUUAGGGUUGUAAAGCUCUUUUACCCGGGAUGAUAAUGACAGUACCGGGAGAAUAAGCCCCGGCUAACUCCGUG